AUAGAGAAGCCAAUGAAAAGGUGCUUAAAGAAGUAUUUGCAAAACAUGGUCCCCUUUUGGAAGUUCUUUUGAUAAAAGGUCGAACCAGUAAGUCCAGAGAUUUUGUGGUCAUUAUUUUUGAGAAUGCUGCAGAUGCUAAGAAUGCUGCCAGAGAUAUGAAUGGAAAGUCUUUGGAUGGAAAAGAAAUAAAAGUAGAACAAGCAAAGAAACCAUCUUUUCCAAGUGGUGGUAGGCGGAGACCACCACCUUCUUCAAGAAACAGAAGCCCUUCAGGAAGUCUGAGAUCUGCAAGAGGAAGUAGUGGAGGAACAAGACCGUGGCUGCCCUCACAUGAAGGACACUUGGAUGAUGGUGGAUACGCUCUUGAUCUCAACACGAGUUCUUCUAGGGGA
Molecule: long non-coding RNA, 392 nt
Organism: Homo sapiens (human)
Lineage: Eukaryota; Metazoa; Chordata; Mammalia; Primates; Hominidae
Source: Ensembl